AUUGAACGCUGGCGGCAUGCCUUACACAUGCAAGUCGAACGGCAGCACGGGUGCUUGCACCUGGUGGCGAGUGGCGAACGGGUGAGUAAUACAUCGGAACAUGUCCUGUAGUGGGGGAUAGCCCGGCGAAAGCCGGAUUAAUACCGCAUACGAUCUACGGAUGAAAGCGGGGGACCUUCGGGCCUCGCGCUAUAGGGUUGGCCGAUAGCGGAUUGGCUAGUUGGUGGGGUAAAGGCCUACCAAGGCGACGAUCAGUAACUGGUCUGAGAGGACGACCAGCCACACUGGGACUGAGACACGGCCCAGACUCCUACGGGAGGCAGCAGUGGGGAAUUUUGGACAAUGGGCGAAAGCCUGAUCCAGCAAUGCCGCGUGUGUGAAGAAGGCCUUCGGGUUGUAAAGCACUUUUGUCCGGAAAGAAAUCCUUGGCUCUAAUACAGUCGGGGGAUGACGGUACCGGAAGAAUAAGCACCGGCUAACUACGUG
RNAcentral lists this ribosomal RNA (486 nucleotides) under uncultured bacterium. RNAcentral's name for it is "partial 16S ribosomal RNA". It matches the Rfam family "Bacterial small subunit ribosomal RNA", at positions 30 to 507 of the family's 1533-position model. The record is from RNAcentral.